UACGAAGGGGGCUAGCGUUGCUCGGAAUCACUGGGCGUAAAGGGUGCGUAGGCGGUUCUUUAAGUCCGGGGUGAAAUCCUGGAGCUCAACUCCAGAACUGCCUUUGAUACUGAGGAUCUUGAGUUCGGGAGAGGUGAGUGGAACUGCGAGUGUAGAGGUGAAAUUCGUAGAUAUUCGCAAGAACACCAGUGGCGAAGGCGGCUCACUGGCCCGAUACUGACGCUGAGGCACGAAAGCGUGGGGAGCAAACAGG
Molecule: ribosomal RNA, 253 nt
Filed under: uncultured bacterium
Lineage: Bacteria
Description: partial 16S ribosomal RNA
Rfam family: Bacterial small subunit ribosomal RNA
Source: RNAcentral